RNAcentral lists this transfer RNA (65 nucleotides) under Ichneumonidae sp. MT-2014. RNAcentral describes it as "tRNA-Leu". The record is from RNAcentral. Lineage: Eukaryota; Metazoa; Arthropoda; Insecta; Hymenoptera; Ichneumonidae.
AUUAAUUUGACAGAAAAUUGUAAUAAAUUUAGAAUUUAUUUAUGUAUUAAGGAAUACAAUUAAUA